Oncorhynchus tshawytscha (Chinook salmon) is the source of this 1408-nucleotide long non-coding RNA. NCBI's taxonomy places the organism in Eukaryota, Metazoa, Chordata, Actinopteri, Salmoniformes, Salmonidae. The record is from Ensembl.
AUAUAUUAUAGCUAUAUAUAUAUAUAUAUUUGGUAGUAUUUUAAAGAGUGCAGAUAUAUGAAGUCUGAAAGAGAAACUCCAUUUUGAAAAGUUAUAAUUUUUUACAAUCAGUUUAUUUAAUUUGAUAGAAGUAUCUUUAUUUUGUCUGCCAGGUAGGAAAACACUUUGUUCAAUACAAACUAAAGAUCUAUGAUGCGUAACAGACAUGCACUUACUACUAUUUUGCGUUCAUGAAAAUCAUUUUUGUAUUUCAAUGUCUUUUCUUGCUUCCCCAAAGUGGGUCUGAAUGGAACUGUUUUCCUCUUUUUCUUAGAUGUUUUGUUAUUUAAGAUUAUUAUAUUGGCUCCGAAAUGCAAUCAAGACUGUUAAUUUCUAUCUAUUUGUCCAACCAAAUUGUUUAUUAAUUAUUGUUGAGAUAGCCAGGUAAUCUCUACAGUAUGUAGAGACCUGCUUGUGUAUGUAAUUGUCAGAUAAAAAAAUAAUCAUUCACUUUACCCUAAAUGUAUAUAUAGUUUUAUUUGUCCUUUUAUAAUGUAUUUCCUUAUCCUUUUUUAUUGAAUUAAUCACGUAUUUGAUAAGAAAUAUGGAUUGUUUGCAGGUUAAAACCUAGGAACAGCAGUUUGUCCAAAGGCAGUGGAUAUAUCGAAGUGCUAUAAUUAUACAGAAAUGUUUGAUUUCCCUGCACUCCAAAUGCAAAAUGUAUUUUAAAGAAAGCUCCUAUAGAGAUAUCCUCAUCCAUGUUCAUACAAUAUGAUUUACCUUCAAAUCACUGGGAGGGAUUUUAUAUAUGAAAAAAAUAAAAAGAUUUAGCUUGUUUAUUUUACUUAAUGGAACACACUCAGCUGCAGUUGGCUUGUUUUAAAAUCUUGGCCUUGUGUUGUGUCAUACUGGGUUGCCUUCAGAAGGCACUGUACUUGUCCAAUAAAAAAUAAAAAAAAACGUGUUUUCAUUUUCCAUUGCAAAAUGUGUUGUUACGGUGUGCCCUAAUGAACACGUCCCUAACCUUCCACUCUGUCUGAUCACACCUGUGCUCGUCCAUCAAACUGUUUCUGUUUUACUGUACAACGGAUGAUCUCAACAUGACUUAUUGUUUUAGAUGUUAUUAUGCUGUACUGUAAUGGACAAAUCAAGUAAAACACUACUACAGAAACAGUUUUUUUUUUUUUUCAGCUGUAUUUUUUAAAAGAUGUUUUAAAUGGUGUAUUUUUCAACUCUCUUUUCAAACUACAGCGAUGCAAAACCAAUGGGCCUUUUCCUGGGCUCCACCCUGAACACAAAACAAGUCAGGUUGCUCUUUUUACAUUUUGUUUUCAAGGUUUUCAAAAAUGAAUUACAUUCUCCUUUUUCUGUUUCAAUUGUACUACUGUUCCUCUAUAAUACAUAUUCCAAAUAAAACGCUUAAACUUGA